This 742-nucleotide ribosomal RNA is filed under the name uncultured bacterium. Its description in RNAcentral is "bacterial SSU rRNA". It matches the Rfam family "Bacterial small subunit ribosomal RNA", at positions 94 to 823 of the family's 1533-position model. The record is from RNAcentral.
AGCGGCGGACGGGUGAGUAACACGUGGGUAACCUGCCCAAGAGACUGGGAUAACACCUGGAAACAGAUGCUAAUACCGGAUAACAACACUAGACGCAUGUCUAGAGUUUGAAAGAUGGUUCUGCUAUCACUCUUGGAUGGACCUGCGGUGCAUUAGCUAGUUGGUAAGGUAACGGCUUACCAAGGCAAUGAUGCAUAGCCGAGUUGAGAGACUGAUCGGCCACAUUGGAACUGAGACACGGCCCAAACUCCUACGGGAGGCAGCAGUAGGGAAUCUUCCACAAUGGACGAAAGUCUGAUGGAGCAACGCCGCGUGAGUGAAGAAGGGUUUCGGCUCGUAAAGCUCUGUUGGUAGUGAAGAAAGAUAGAGGUAGUAACUGGCCUUUAUUUGACGGUAAUUACUUAGAAAGUCACGGCUAACUACGUGCCAGCAGCCGCGGUAAUACGUAGGUGGCAAGCGUUGUCCGGAUUUAUUGGGCGUAAAGCGAGUGCAGGCGGUUCAAUAAGUCUGAUGUGAAAGCCUUCGGCUCAACCGGAGAAUUGCAUCAGAAACUGUUGAACUUGAGUGCAGAAGAGGAGAGUGGAACUCCAUGUGUAGCGGUGGAAUGCGUAGAUAUAUGGAAGAACACCAGUGGCGAAGGCGGCUCUCUGGUCUGCAACUGACGCUGAGGCUCGAAAGCAUGGGUAGCGAACAGGAUUAGAUACCCUGGUAGUCCAUGCCGUAAACGAUGAGUGCUAAGUGU